RNAcentral lists this ribosomal RNA (529 nucleotides) under uncultured bacterium. Its description in RNAcentral is "bacterial SSU rRNA". It matches the Rfam family "Bacterial small subunit ribosomal RNA", at positions 348 to 876 of the family's 1533-position model. The record is from RNAcentral.
GCAGCAGUGAGGAAUAUUGGUCAAUGGGCGCAAGCCUGAACCAGCCAUCCCGCGUGCAGGAAGACGGCCCUAUGGGUUGUAAACUGCUUUUCUGAGGGAAGAAUAACCCCGAUUUGCUCGGGGGAUGACGGUACCUCAGGAAUAAGCAUCGGCUAACUCCGUGCCAGCAGCCGCGGUAAUACGGAGGAUGCAAGCGUUAUCCGGAUUCAUUGGGUUUAAAGGGUGCGUAGGCGGGCUGGUAAGUCAGUGGUGAAAUCUUUCGGCUCAACCGAGAAACUGCCAUUGAAACUGGCAGUCUUGAGUCAGGUAGAGGUAGGCGGAAUGUGUAAUGUAGCGGUGAAAUGCUUAGAUAUUACACAGAACACCGAUUGCGUAGGCAGCUUACUGGACCUGCACUGACGCUGAUGCACGAAAGCGUGGGGAGCGAACAGGAUUAGAUACCCUGGUAGUCCACGCCGUAAACUAUGAUUACUCGUUGUUGGCGAUACACCGUCAGCGACCAAGCGAAAGCGAUAAGUAAUCCACCUGG